GUUCAUUUUGACGCCAUUCAAAGAAUCACAAAGAAUAGUUGGCCUCAAAAAAGCUUCUUUUGUGGUGUUGACAGUUUUUUUUAAAAGCAACGUCGUAGAAAUGUCUAAAUAUUGCAUAUGGGUUAUCAAUUAUCAUCGAAUAAACACAAAAAAGGCAGAUUUUCAAUUCUGCAUUUCGAAGAUGAUUAAGAACAAGUUGUUUGGCAUCGAUGAGCAGCAGUGAUUUCUUCAACAAGAUGGUGUGCCACCAUACUAUGCCCUUCCUGUUCAAGCUUAUUUAAACCAGUUAUUUUUCACAAGAUGGAUUGGAAGAACAAGGCCAAUUGAGUGGCCAGGAAUAUCUCCAGAUUUGAUUCCACUGGACUUGUUCCUUUAGGAUAACUGCAUGGAUAUUUAAAGAGCAAAGUUUAUACCACUGGAACCAAUACUUUGGAUGAACAAAUAAUCAGAAUCCAAGAAGAAGUUGUCAGGAAGAAUUUCAAAAUCAUUGCUGAUAAGCAGCUGCUCAAGCUUUUGAGCGAAAUGUAUGGAUUUAAGAUAGUCAAUCAUUGUGCAACUAAAAUGGGACCAUUACGUUGAUAAUAAAUAUUUCGUCUGAUAUUCAAUGGAACUUCCUUCAGUAGGUCUAUCAAAUUAAAUUCGGAAUAUGAAAAUUGAUGCUGAACGUGACUUUCUACUGUCACAUCUGGGUUAUUAUCAGACCAACAUAAAUUUGAUUAUUAUUUCCACAAUAUGCUGCUGAGAUGUCUCAAUGAUUACACAUACUUGUGAAAUGUAGUUAGGAACCAGUCUUUUUUGGCUGUGCUAUGGAUAGGUACACAAGCGUUUUACCAAGAAUGAUUUCCCAAGAACUUGAAUAAUUCUUUGCGGAACGCAUGUGUAUGUGCAACCUGUACAUUUUGGGAUCUGCUUUUUCGAUCAAAAUGUACUUCUUCCUUAUAACUCUGCAUAUUCUUCUGUGUACUGGAUAUUAUAUAACUGUUUCCACAAUUAUUUGAAGUUGUUGAAACUUCUGUAUAAGAAUCAUUUUUAAAAUUAUAACCAAGAACACAAAUAUUAAUAAUAUAAGUUUCACCCCAUGUUUUGAAUGUCAUGAAUGUAUAUCAUGAUGCUAUCAUGCUUGAGUCAUGAUGCCCAAUGUCCUUAAUAAUUGUUCGAAAAGGACUCGUCUUGGCCAAAGAAAUUAAGAUAAGAAGAUUUGUUGUUAUUUUAUAAUGUAUUAUAUUAUUGAAAUAUGAAAUAUAGAGUAAUUAUUCAUUUGA
This 1262-nucleotide long non-coding RNA is filed under the name Onthophagus taurus. Its description in RNAcentral is "uncharacterized LOC111416286, transcript variant X1". The record is from RNAcentral. Lineage: Eukaryota; Metazoa; Arthropoda; Insecta; Coleoptera; Scarabaeidae.